This 61-nucleotide microRNA precursor is filed under the name Triops cancriformis. RNAcentral describes it as "microRNA tcf-mir-33 precursor". Its record names the gene tcf-mir-33. It matches the Rfam family "mir-33 microRNA precursor family", at positions 6 to 65 of the family's 69-position model. Lineage: Eukaryota; Metazoa; Arthropoda; Branchiopoda; Notostraca; Triopsidae. The record is from miRBase by way of RNAcentral.
GUGCAUUGUAGUUGCAUUGCAUGGUCGGUUUAAGAUGUGCAGUGUUUCUGCAGUGCAAACC